GCUCUCUGUGUGCAGAGUGUGAACAUCUCUCGCAGCCUUUGAAGUGUCGAGCAGCUUACUGGAAAGACAUGCUAAUUCCUCACAAGAGAAUCCUCGAUUUACAAAAGAAUCUAAUUCCAGGAUCCUCCACAGAAUCAUACUCUGCAGGCUGCCUUCAGACUGCAACUGGAAUGCUGACUCUCCUAGAUCUCCAGUCUUCCAGCCCACCCUGCAGACUUUGGACUUGCCAGCCUCCAUAAUCAUG
Cynocephalus volans (Philippine flying lemur) is the source of this 244-nucleotide long non-coding RNA. RefSeq lists it as uncharacterized. The transcript has 3 exons. The record is from RefSeq and is a predicted model, not a curated record. NCBI's taxonomy places the organism in Eukaryota, Metazoa, Chordata, Mammalia, Dermoptera, Cynocephalidae.